This 114-nucleotide non-coding RNA is filed under the name Guillardia theta. Lineage: Eukaryota; Cryptophyceae; Pyrenomonadales; Geminigeraceae. The record is from RNAcentral.
UGGACAGAAAGAAGGAUAAGAAAGACAAAAAGGCAAAGAAAGAGAAAAAGGCGAAAAAGGAGAAGAGAAAAGAAUGAUGAUGACUUGGACUCAUUUAUUUUUUUGGGUUUUCGU